Molecule: long non-coding RNA, 365 nt
Organism: Gasterosteus aculeatus aculeatus (three-spined stickleback)
Lineage: Eukaryota; Metazoa; Chordata; Actinopteri; Perciformes; Gasterosteidae
Source: Ensembl
GGUAGAAAUGGAUGUUGAGGGGACGGAUGUCUUCUUGGGAGACAUGGCAACAUCACACGGGCUCAGCAGUGAUGUGGAGGAGGAUUAUUAUCCAAACGCAUGUUAUGACGAUAUAAUGAUGACUGAAAGCAUCUCUCCAGCCUGUUCACCACCCUUUACUCACAAGUCUGAGGCAUCGAAUGUGAGAGCAAUGUGACUGAUUAUAUAGAAAUCCAUUUAUCUGUGAGGAAAAGCUAGUGAUGUUCUCAUUUACUGAGCAGACUGAGUACUUUCUCUUCACUUCUCUUUUGUUGCAGGGUGCAGUUUGCUUGAAAAGGAGGAGUGAAAGGCAGAAGGUCAGAGAGGAGGUGGACAGUGAGGAAGUU